Small nuclear RNA from Cavia aperea (Brazilian guinea pig), 87 nucleotides. NCBI's taxonomy places the organism in Eukaryota, Metazoa, Chordata, Mammalia, Rodentia, Caviidae. The record is from Ensembl.
GCGCUCAGUUCAGCAGCACAUAUACUAAAAUUGGCAUGAUACAGACAUCAGCCAGGCCCCUGCGCAAGUGAAGCGUCCCAUAGUUUU